UGGGAGAUUGGUAGAACGCUCAAGUAGUUCC
This 31-nucleotide non-coding RNA is filed under the name Mus musculus (house mouse). The record is from RNAcentral. Lineage: Eukaryota; Metazoa; Chordata; Mammalia; Rodentia; Muridae.